This 373-nucleotide ribosomal RNA is filed under the name uncultured bacterium. Its description in RNAcentral is "bacterial SSU rRNA". It matches the Rfam family "Bacterial small subunit ribosomal RNA", at positions 527 to 898 of the family's 1533-position model. The record is from RNAcentral.
AGAGGUGGCAAGCGUUGUUCGGAAUUACUGGGCGUAAAGGGCGCGUAGGCGGCCUUGUCAGUCAGACGUGAAAUCCCCAGGCUUAACUUGGGAACUGCGUCUGAUACUACAAGGCUGGAGUUCGGGAGAGGAAUGUGGAAUUCCAGGUGUAGCGGUGAAAUGCGUAGAUAUCUGGAGGAACACCGGUGGCGAAGGCGGCAUUCUGGACCGAAACUGACGCUGAUGCGCGAAAGCCAGGGGAGCAAACGGGAUUAGAUACCCCGGUAGUCCUGGCCCUAAACGAUGAGUGCUUGGUGUGGCGGGUAUCGAUCCCUGCCGUGCCGAAGCUAACGCAUUAAGCACUCCGCCUGGGGAGUACGGUCGCAAGGCUGAA